Molecule: small RNA, 576 nt
Filed under: Pongo abelii (Sumatran orangutan)
Lineage: Eukaryota; Metazoa; Chordata; Mammalia; Primates; Hominidae
Description: retained intron
Source: RNAcentral
CUCUUGUCUUUACAGAACUGCCUGGAAAUCUUGUGUAGGCACAGAGGGCUUGAGCCAGAAAGAAGAGACAAGUGCAAUCGGACUGUGCAUGAUGUUGCCACUGAUGACUGCAAGCAUUUGCUGGAGAAUCUGAAUGCUCUUAAAAUACCCUUAAGGAUUUCAGUGGGUGAGAUUGAACCAAGCAACUAUGGUUCUGAUGACUUGGAAUGUGAAAACACAAUAUGUGCUUUAAAUAUCCGCAAACAGACAUCAUGGGAUGAUUUUUCAAAAGCAGUGAGUCAAGCUCUGACAAAUCAUUUCCAGGCAAUCUCUUCUGAUGGAUGGUGGAGUCUGGAAGACGUGACUUGCAAUAACACCACUGAUUCCAACAUCGGCCUCAGUGCAAGAAGCAUACGAUCCAUCACGCUAGGUAUCAGCAGUCCUAUGACGAAGAGAAAGUGAAAUUUCUGGGUUUAUUUAUGUUUGUGGGUUUCAUAACCUGAUUCUUAGUUCAUUGAUUAAGCACAUUCAAAGCUUACUUGUGGCAGCUGCCAGUGCUGAAAAACUUGAGUAUUCACAAUGUAGCCAUUAUGUAAU